UAAAGAAAUAUUUUAAUAUAUUUUCAUUUCCCCCUUACAGGAGCAGAUCCCAAAUUCUGGGGAAGGAAAGAAGUUAUGAAUUAUAGAGUUCCAAGGGUUAUACUUUGUUCUGCUCACCACAAUCUCACCUUUGCUGAAACAUUCUGCACUAAAGUCCCCGUCUCUGGACACUGGAGUCUCACAGCCACCAGCCUUCCCAUUGGAGGAAGGAAGACCUACGUGCCAGAGUGAUGAAUGCCAACAAUGACCAGGAGAUGAAUCUAGAAGCACUACAUUCCAGUUAUGAAGAUCUUUUUCUGAAUGUGGAUAGCAUUCUUUCUUCUAAAUUCCUCUGGAUUGUCCUAAUCACUGCAUUGCUGCUUCUGGAAAAGUCUAUUACAUUCAAUCUUGCCACAAUGUAUCAGUCUCUGUGUACAAGGUACUCCUGGUUCUGCUCUUUUUGUUUCCCAUCAAUUCCUAGAGGUCAUUUCAGUUCACAUGGAAUUCCUCCAGUUCUUUAUUCCUCUCAAUACAAUAGUAUUCCAUCACCAUCAGGUAACACAAUUUUUCCUGCAUUCCCCAUCAUUUUCCAAAUUUUUGCCAACACAAAAGGCGUGGCUAUAAAUAUUUUUUGUUCAAGUAUUUUUUCUUAUUUUCCUCUUGGGGUACAGACCCAGAAGUGUUAUGGCCAGAUCAAAUGGCAGGCAAUCUUUUAAAGUCCUUUGGGCAUAGUUCCAAAUUGGGCUCUAGAAUGGUUGGAUUAAUUCAGAACUCUAUCAGCAGUGUAUUAGUCUCCCAAUUUUGCCAUAUCCCCUCCAAAAUUUAUCACUUUCCCUUGCUGCCACAUUGAACAGUCAGCUGGGUAUAAUGUGGCAUCUCAGAGUUAUUUUUAUUUGCAUUUCUCUAAUCAGUAGGGAUUUAGAACACUUUUUCAUAUGAUUAUUGAUAGUUUUUUGAUUUCUACAUCUGGAAACUGCCUAUUCAUAUUCCUUGACCAUUUUUUGAUUGAGGAAUGGUUUAAUUUUUUGUAAAUUUGACUUAGGUCCUUAAAUAUUUUGGAAAUUAAACUUUGUCAGAGAGUUUUGUUAUGAGGAUUUUUCCCCCAGUUUGUUGUUUUCCUUCC
RNAcentral lists this long non-coding RNA (1102 nucleotides) under Monodelphis domestica (gray short-tailed opossum). RNAcentral's name for it is "lncRNA (ENSMODG00000036523.1)". The record is from RNAcentral. Lineage: Eukaryota; Metazoa; Chordata; Mammalia; Didelphimorphia; Didelphidae.